GGAGUGUACAGCAGUGGCAGCAAUAACAACCCAUGGAAGUAUCAUCAACACACCACUGAAAAGAAAUGGACACAAUCGGGUACUCGUUAAAAAAUGAUUAUUAGUACGCAUUUUCUGGCAAUUUAGAUUAGAAUAACUUCAUUUUUCUCAUGGGGGAACGUCUUAAAUCAAACCAUUCAAACAACACAAACACCAAAAGACAGAGCUGAACAUUUGGAGAAGCCAUGGAGAAGACAACAAUGUAGUGAGCAACAUCUGCCCUCAGCUCCUCUGAGAAGCGAUGCAUUAGCUGGAAUGGUCUAGCUGCUGGUGGCUCAUCUGGAGAUGGUGGGGAGCUGGGAUUGGUGCGCUGGCUUUAGGGAAAUCAGCCACUGUUCUCUCUCUGCGUCCCAAGCUUUGGCCAUUAACUCACUGCCAGCAGCUCAGCUCUGGGAUGAGGAACAACAGAUGCCAGCCACUGAAAAGCCUCCAGCGCUCCAGCUAACCAAUCCCAACUGAGUCGGGACGAGCCUCUGUAGAUUUUUGGACAUCCAGCGAACAAAUGUGGACAUGAAAGGGGGAAGAGGAGGGCUGUUCUGGAGGUAAAGAUGUGUUAACCCUCUUGAACUUGACAGGAGACGAGGCUGGAGCUCAGAUUAGCCCCUCAAAGCCCAGCUUUCACAAAAGUGGUCCAGAGUGGCAAGGAGACACCAGAUUAGGGAUGAGCCAAUCCCUGCUAUCCUCAACUGCCACAUCUUCCUGCUAGGCUACCCAAACAAGCACAAGGAGAAGAGGAGAAGUAAGGGAGUUGGGUCAAAUGGUAGCUGGGUGAACAAGCCGUGGAUCGAGUGACUGGGGUCCUUGAGGAUCUUCUUGGCCUUCCUGUGACACCGGCUGCUGUAGAUGUCCUGGAGGGCAGGCAGUGUGCCCCUGGUGAUGCGUUGGGUCUUUCUUCAGCCUCCUGUUGCGCCUUCUUCAGCACACUGUCUGUGUGGACCAUUUCAGGUCUAAUGUAUGCCUAACAGGAGCAGAGCCCUAGGACCAUGCCUCAGGACUAACCCUAACCCUGAUGACUCCUUGCUGUCCCCAGUCCACCUGGUCAUGCUGCUGCUCCAGUUCCAAAUGUUCUGCCUGCGGCUAUGGAACCCUGACCUGUUCACUGGACUUGCUACCUUGUCCCGGACCUGCUGUUUUGGAUUCUCUCUCUACCGCACCUGCUGUCUCUAACUUUGCAUGAUCGGCUAUGAAAAGCCAACUGACAUUUAGUCCUGAGGUGCUGACCUGUUGCACCCUCUACAACCACUGUGAUUAUUAUUAUCUGACCCUGCUGGUCAUCUAUGAACGUUUGAACAUCUUGGCCAUGUUCUGUUAUAAUCUCCACCCGGCACAUCCAGAAGAGGACUGGCCACCCCUUAGAGCCUUGUUCCUCUCUGUUUCUUCCUAAGUUAUGGCCUUUCUAGGGAGUUUUUCCUAGCCACCAUGCUUCUACAUGGGCAGUGGUCCCGUGUGGCUCAGUUGGUAGAGCAUGGUGUUUGCAAUGCCAGGGUUGUGGGUUCGAUUCCCACAGGGGACCAGUAUGGGGGGAAAAAGGUAUGAAAUGUAUGCAUUCACUACUGUAAGUUGCUCUGGAUAAGAGCAUCUGCUAAAUGACUAAAAUGUAAAUGUAGUCUGGUUAGCCAUUUGACUAGAUGUUCAGGAGUCUUAGAAUAGAAGCUAGAAAACUACAGUAAAGUCAUGUCUGCAAAAACACUACAGUGAAUACACAGUGAAGUCAGCAAAUAUACUACAGUGAAUACUAUAGUAUAUAAAUAUAGUAAUACUACAGCAUUUAGACCAU
This 1816-nucleotide long non-coding RNA is filed under the name Salmo salar (Atlantic salmon). RNAcentral describes it as "lncRNA (ENSSSAG00000092679.1)". The stretch from base 1582 to 1635 matches the Rfam family "UnaL2 LINE 3' element". Lineage: Eukaryota; Metazoa; Chordata; Actinopteri; Salmoniformes; Salmonidae. The record is from RNAcentral.